AACAGGAUUAGAUACCCUGGUAGUCCACGCCGUAAACGAUGUCGACUUGGAGGUUGUGCCCUUGAGGCGUGGCUUCCGGAGCUAACGCGUUAAGUCGACCGCCUGGGGAGUACGGCCGCAAGGUUAAAACUCAAAUGAAUUGACGGGGGCCCGCACAAGCGGUGGAGCAUGUGGUUUAAUUCGAUGCAACGCGAAGAACCUUACCUACUCUUGACAUCCAGAGAACUUAGCAGAGAUGCUUUGGUGCCUUCGGGAACUCUGAGACAGGUGCUGCAUGGCUGUCGUCAGCUCGUGUUGUGAAAUGUUGGGUUAAGUCCCGCAACGAGCGCAACCCUUAUCCUUUGUUGCCAGCGGUUCGGCCGGGAACUCAAAGGAGACUGCCAGUGAUAAACUGGAGGAAGGUGGGGAUGACGUCAAGUCAUCAUGGCCCUUACGAGUAGGGCUACACACGUGCUAUAAUGGCAUAUACAAAGAGAAGCGACCUCGCGAGAGCAAGCGGACCUCAUAAAGUAUGUCGUAGUCCGGAUUGGAGUCUGCAACUCGACUCCAUGAAGUCGGAAUCGCUAGUAAUCGUGGAUCAGAAUGCCACGGUGAAUACGUUCCCGGGCCUUGUACACACCGCCCGUCACACCAUGGGAGUGGGUUGCAAAAGAAGUAGGUAGCUUAACCUUCGGGAGGGCGCUUACCACUUUGUGAUUCAUGACUGGGGUGAAGUCGUAACAAGGUAACC
RNAcentral lists this ribosomal RNA (730 nucleotides) under uncultured bacterium. RNAcentral's name for it is "bacterial SSU rRNA". It matches the Rfam family "Bacterial small subunit ribosomal RNA", at positions 771 to 1501 of the family's 1533-position model. The record is from RNAcentral.